UACGUAGGGUGCGAGCGUUGUCCGGAAUUAUUGGGCGUAAAGGGCUCGUAGGCGGUUUGUCGCGUCGGGAGUGAAAACAUCGGGCUUAACUCGAUGCUUGCUUUCGAUACGGGCAGACUUGAGGUAUGCAGGGGAGAAUGGAAUUCCUGGUGUAGCGGUGAAAUGCGCAGAUAUCAGGAGGAACACCGGUGGCGAAGGCGGAUCUCUGGGCCUUACCUGACGCUGAGGCGCGAAAGCUAGGGGAGCAAACAGG
Molecule: ribosomal RNA, 253 nt
Filed under: uncultured bacterium
Lineage: Bacteria
Description: partial 16S ribosomal RNA
Rfam family: Bacterial small subunit ribosomal RNA
Source: RNAcentral